RNAcentral lists this ribosomal RNA (2586 nucleotides) under Chloroflexaceae bacterium. RNAcentral describes it as "partial 23S ribosomal RNA". It matches the Rfam family "Bacterial large subunit ribosomal RNA", at positions 1 to 2571 of the family's 2925-position model. Lineage: Bacteria; Bacillati; Chloroflexota; Chloroflexia; Chloroflexales; Chloroflexaceae. The record is from RNAcentral.
CAACGAAGACAAUAUGAGCACACGGUGGAUGCCUUGGCAAGCUGUGCCGAUGAAGGACGGGGUCACGCACCGAUAUGCACUGGGGAGCGGCGAACACGCAUUGAUCCAGUGGUCUCCGAAUGGGGCAACCCGCAUCAUUAACGAUGCACCACAUCUUUGUGGAGGGAACCGGGCCAACUGAAACAUCUUACGUAGCCCGAGGAAGAGUGAACAACACCCGUAGUAGUGGCGAACGAACCGGGUGACAGCCCAAACCAACAACGUGUCAAGCGGACUGGCGUUGCGUUGUUGGGGUUGGAGGGCGGAAUCGGCAGCCAGUCCGCUGCCCCGCAUCGCCCGCCUGACCUGCGAACGUGUUUGGAAUACACGACCGAAGAGCAUGACAGUUGCGUAGCAGGCAGGCGAGCCGAUGCGCUCCUUCCCCUGAGUAGGGCGCGGCACGAAGAACCGCGUUCGAAGCUGGGUCGACCACGACCCAAGGCAAACUACACAGCUUGACCGAUAGCGUAUAGUACCGUGAGGGAAUGGUGAAAAGAACCCCGGCGAGGGGAGUGAAAAGAACCUGAAACCGUGUGCUUCCAUGCCGUGGGAGGGCGAGUGACCGCCUGACCGCGUGCCUUUUGGAGUAUGAUCCGGCGAGUUAUCCGACGUGGCAAGGCUAAGCAAGUGAUAUGCGCAGCCGUAGUGAAAGCGAGCCUGAACAGGGCGUUCAGUCGCGGCGGAUAGACCCGAAACCGGGUGAGCUACCCAUGGGCAGGCUGAAGCGUCCCUAACAGGACGUGGAGGGCCGAACCGGUGUCUGUUGCAAAAGGCUCGGAUGACCUGUGGGUAGGGGUGAAAUGCCAAUCGAACUCGGAGAUAGCUGGUUCUCCCCGAAAUGUAUAGAGGUACAGCCGUAGGCUUGUCUGCCGCCUGAGGUAGAGCACUGGUGUUGUGCGGGGGCUUCACCGCUUACCAAGCGACGCCAAACUCCGAAUGCAGGCGGAUUGACCUACGAGUGAGACGGCGAGUGCAAACAUCCGUCGUCGAGAGGGAAACAACCCAGAUCUGCGGCUAAGGUCCCCAAGUGUUCGCUAAGUGGGAAAGGUUGUGUUGGUGCCUAGACAACCAGGAAGUUGGCUUAGAAGCAGCCACCUUUAAAAGAGUGCGUAACAGCUCACUGGUCGAGUGCCGAUGCGCCGAUGCUGUAACGGGGCAAAGCGAACCACCGAAGCCCAGAACGUUGCGUGAGCAACGUGGUAGGGGAGCGUCGUCGUCGCAGCGAAGCACGAGGGGAACCCCGUGUGGAGUGACGAGGAGUGCGAAUGCCGGAAUGAGUAACAGAGAAGUGGGGUGCGAACCCCCACCACCGAAAGCCUCAGGGUUCCGCCGCAAGGGUGAUCCGCGGCGGGUUAGUCGGGCCUAAGGCGUAGGCGAAAGCCGAAGCCGAUGGACAACAGGUCGAUAUUCCUGUACCACCCUGACUCGUUUGACCAAUGCAGAAUGCUGAGGGGGACGUUGCGCGGCGAGACGUGCGCCGUUGAAGCUGGUAGGGAGAUGAUGGAAGCAAAUCCCGUCAUCGUUGACCGAGAGGCGACCAAAAGGGUUGGGUGCAAGCCCGCCCGAUGCAACCGCACCUGUGCAGCCAAGAAAGGUCUGCUAGGGAGAGUUCAGAGUGACCGUACCGCAAACCGACACAGGUAGGCACGUUGAGGAAACGCAGGUGGACGAGUGACCCCUAGUUAAGGAACUCGGCAAAUUACUCCCGUACCUUCGGAAGAAGGGAGCCUGCAUACGUGUGACGGGGCUAGCCCUCGAGCGCGGAGCAGGGACACAAACCAGGCCCAAGCGACUGGAUACCAGAACCACAGCUCGCUGCUGAAGCCGUAAGGCGACGUAUAGCGGGUGAUGCCUGCCCAGUGCCGGAAGGUUAAAGGGCGGUGUGCAAGCACCAAACUGAAGCCCCGGUGAACGGCGGCUGUAACUAUAACAGUCCUAAGGUAGCGAAAUUCCUUGUCGGGUAAGUUCCGACCCGCACGAAAGGCAUCACGACUUGGGCACUGUCUCAACUAGGGACUCGGUGAAAUUGCAGGGGCCGUGAAGAUGCGGCCAACGCAUAGCAGGACAAAAAGACCCCGUGGAGCUUUACUACAACUUGCCAUUGGAUUCGUGGCGGAGAUGCGUAGCAUAGGUGGGAGGCUGAGAACGACCCCUUGCGGGGGGUCGGGAGCCAUCGGUGAAAUACCACUCUUCUCCGGCAUUGAUCCUCACCCGUUUGAAACGGGAACCGUGGCUGGUGGGUAGUUUGACUGGGGCGGUCGCCUCCCAAAAGGUAACGGAGGCGCACAAAGGUUCCCUCAGGUGGGAUGGCAAUCCACCGUGGAGUGUAACGGCACAAGGGAGCUUGACUGUAAGACCAACGCGUCGCACAGGGACGAAAGUCGGUCGUAGUGAUCCCAUAGUCCCGCGUGGAAGGGCUAUGGCUUAACGGAUAAAAGCUACCCCGGGGAUAACAGGCUCAGACCUCCCAAGAGUUCAUAUCGACGGAGGAGCGUGGCACCUCGAUGUCGGCUCGUCGCAUCCUGGGGCUGGAGUAGGUCCCAAGGG